GACGAACGCUGGCGGCGUGCUUAACACAUGCAAGUCGAACGGACUACUUUGCUUCGGUAAGGUGGUUAGUGGCGAACGGGUGAGUAACGCGUAGACAACCUACCUCUUAGAUGGGGACAACACCGCGAAAGCGGUGCUAAUACCGAAUGAAGUGACUUUCCUGCAUGGGAGAGAUACUAAAGGUGGCCGCUAUUGAUAAGCUACCACUGAAAGAUGGGACUGCGUCUGACUAGCGAGUUGGCGGGGUAACGGCCCACCAAGGGGACGAUCAGUAGCCGGUCUGAGAGGAUGAACGGCCACAUUGGGACUGAGACACGGCCCAAACUCCUACGGGAGGCAGCAGUGGGGAAUCUUCCGCAAUGGACGAAAGUCUGACGGAGCAACGCCGCGUGAGUGAAGAAGAUUUUCGGAUCGUAAAGCUCUGUUGUUUGAGACGAAUGUGCCUGUUUCGAAUAGGGAUAGGUAAUGACGGUAUUAAACGAGAAAGCCACGGCUAACUACGUGCCAGCCGCCGCGGUAA
RNAcentral lists this ribosomal RNA (520 nucleotides) under uncultured bacterium. RNAcentral's name for it is "partial 16S ribosomal RNA". It matches the Rfam family "Bacterial small subunit ribosomal RNA", at positions 28 to 523 of the family's 1533-position model. The record is from RNAcentral.